CAGCACUUAGAGAGCUUCCAGAUAGCCGAACAUAUGGGUGCUCCUGGAAGGUAGAGUGCCCAGGAAGGACAUGGAGACUCUCUACUCCUUCCCCCAUACCUUGCCCUACACAUCUCUUCAUUGGCACGGUGGCUCACGCCUGUAAUCGCAGCACUUUGGGAGACCAAAGCAGAUGAAUCACCUGAGGUCAAGAGUUCAAGACCAGCCUGGCCAACACGAAAGAAGCUCUCACAGUGGAAGACUAUAAUAUGACAUAAGAAGAAAUGUGGACUUGGAGAUACAGAAGACAGAGUUUUACUUUUGUUACCCAGGCUGGAGUGCAAUGGCGCAAUCCUGGCUCACCGCAACCUCCGCCUCCCAGGUUCAAGCAAUUCUUCUGCCUCAGCCUCCCGAGUAGCUGGGAUUAGAGACGGGGUUUCAUCAUGUUGCCCAGGCGGGUCUUGAACUCCUAAACUCAAACAAUCCACCUGCCUUGGCCUCCCAAAGUGCUGGGAUUACAGGUGUGGGCCAUCGUGCCCAGCCUCAUACCAUGGACUCUUACACAACAACAAAAAAGAAGAAUAUAGAAUAUAGAAAUCAGCAUUGAAAGAUCUCAAAAACAUACUAUGGAAUGACAAAAAGCCAAGUUUCAGAAUAAUAUAUACAGUGUAACAUUUAUAUAAAGACCGAAAACAUGCAAAACUAUGUAUUCUUUAUAAAAACAUCUAUCUAUACUGAAAAUAUAGAAACAAGAGUAGGAAUGAUGAACACCAAAUUCACAACAGUGGUUACCUCUGGUGGAGACAGGGUACAAGGGUACACAGUGGGCUUCAAUUAUACACAAUAUUUUAUUACUUGAGUGGGGCUGUAAGGGUUGAUUAUAUUGUUUUCUAUAUAAUAUUGUGUGCUGGCAACAUUUCAUAACAAGGAAAAAAGGAAGAAAAUAUCCUAAAACAAAUUAAUAUGUAACAAGUAAAAUGUUAGAACUGAUCAAUCUAAAGUCCAACUCUUUGAAAACAUGAAAGAUGGCUGGGCACAGUGGCUCAUGCCUGUAAUCCCAGCACUUUGGGAGACCGAGGCGGGAGGAUCACCUUAAGUCAGGAGUUCGAGACCAGCCUGACCAAUAUGGAGAAACUCCGUCUCUACUAAAAAUACAAAAUUAGCCGGGUGUGGUGGUGUAUGCCUGUAAUCCCAGCUACUCGGGAGGCUGAGGCAGGAGAAUCGCUUGAACCUGGGAGGCAGAGAUUGUGGUGAGCUGAGAUCGCACCAUUGCACUGUAGCCUGGGCAACAAGAGCAAAAUACCGUCUCAAAAAAAAAAAAAAGUAAAAAAAAAAUAAAAGACAAAUCUCACACAAAGCAAAAGAAAAAAACUAAGAAACACAAAUAGCUAAUACCAUAGAGAAAAAUUUUAAAGAGUGAAAUUAACAGACUAUUUACAAAGAACUCAAAAGCAGGCCGGGCGCGGUGGCCCACGCCUGUAACCCCAGC
This 1468-nucleotide long non-coding RNA is filed under the name Homo sapiens (human). RNAcentral describes it as "PREDICTED lncRNA (TCONS_00084956)". Lineage: Eukaryota; Metazoa; Chordata; Mammalia; Primates; Hominidae. The record is from RNAcentral.